Molecule: long non-coding RNA, 756 nt
Organism: Antechinus flavipes (yellow-footed antechinus)
Lineage: Eukaryota; Metazoa; Chordata; Mammalia; Dasyuromorphia; Dasyuridae
Exons: 3
Source: RefSeq, a predicted model, not a curated record
GGUCACUAAAGGGAAGAAGGGCUAGGAUGACUAAUAUUCCUGGUUCAUCCUAUAAAUAUGGUUCAUCCAGCAUGAGUGGUCCUGAAAAUUCUAAGCCAGAUUAAAGGAAGAUCUUAAGAAUGACAUCUUACGAUGGGGAGAAUAGAAACCUCCCUGAGGAACUGGUACUCUUUGUUCAGAUGGUGAGGAUGCCCAUCCCAAUACCCCUUACUGAUGGUUCUGGAGACAUUUGAAUCAUGAAUUCUGUUUAAGACAGAAAACCUCGAAGUUCCAUCUGUAACAAGACUCGAAAUAAUUACAGCUGAUGAUUGCCUGGUACACUCAGCCAGAAAAACAGAACAGAUUUUGGCCUCCAGCAAUUACAAGCAGCACCCACUUCAGCACAGACAGGACUUUUAAAUGAAUACAUGAAUACAUUGCGGAAGAUCACAAGCAUAAGAGUCUGUUGGAGCAAAAGGGUGAGGGGGAAAAUGAGUUGGCAAAAAGGGAGUAACUUCACCCACUGCAGAAGAAGAGAGAGAUUCCCCUCCCUCCUGCCAACUUAUAACUGUGAAAUAGCAAAAGGAUCUUUAUUUAAUUUCUUCGAGAAGCCCAGAAUUCCAGUGCCUCUCACACCCAAUAGCUUCUUCUCCUUGAUACACCACAGAUGGGAGACUGUGAGGGUCAGUUUGGAUUAGAGUCACGAUUCUGGAAAGGCUUCUUAUUUCUUUUCCAAAAGAUCUUUCUAAAUUCUUACUCUCGAUAGAUUGGUCUAUU